UACGGAGGGUGCAAGCGUUGUCCGGAUUUAUUGGGUUUAAAGGGUGCGUAGGCGGCUUAUUAAGUCAGUGGUGAAAUCCAACAGCUCAACUGUUGAACUGCCAUUGAUACUGAUAGGCUUGAGUACAGACGAGGUAGGCGGAAUUGAUGGUGUAGCGGUGAAAUGCAUAGAUACCGUCAAGAACACCGAUUGCGAAGGCAGCUUACUAGGCUGUAACUGACGCUGAGGCACGAAAGCGUGGGGAGCAAACAGG
RNAcentral lists this unclassified non-coding RNA (253 nucleotides) under uncultured Hymenobacteraceae bacterium. Its description in RNAcentral is "contains 16S-23S intergenic spacer region". It matches the Rfam family "Bacterial small subunit ribosomal RNA", at positions 524 to 776 of the family's 1533-position model. Lineage: Bacteria; Pseudomonadati; Bacteroidota; Cytophagia; Cytophagales; Hymenobacteraceae. The record is from RNAcentral.